This 901-nucleotide long non-coding RNA is filed under the name Homo sapiens (human). RNAcentral describes it as "HSALNT0356071". Lineage: Eukaryota; Metazoa; Chordata; Mammalia; Primates; Hominidae. The record is from RNAcentral.
AGAAGCACAGCAUCUGUGAAGCUUUCGGAAAUUAUCCCUCUGGCUCCAGCCCUUUCUAGAGAUCUCCACGCACAUCUCUGCAUGAAGGUUUCAGAGUCACUGGAUUUCCCAGGGCCUUCUCUUUGCUAGGAAUGUCUGAGACGCGCUCUGCAAGAUGAGUUGGCAGCAUCUCUGUGCCUCUGGUUUUGCCAGGCUCCACCAACAUCCCGCUAAGAACUCUUCACCCUCAAGUGCACUGAGGGGAACCCCAGUGAAGGCCAAUGAGGGAAACCACACAUCACUGAGGGCCGACGGAGGCCCCCAAAGCUCAGAUCGCUGUGCUCGCCAGUAGGUCCCCAGACACCCUUAACACAGCUAUCUGCAGGAUUGAAUGAUUGCUGGGACCACACAAUUUACACUUGGCUCUCGUGGUCCGGAGGGGAGGACUGCGCCAGCAUGAGAAGACCAGAGAGCAAGUAAAUGGAAAUUUGGCGAGAUCCUGUGGCUGCUGUUGGUGGCUGCAGCCAGACAGGAAAACUGAGAUGGUGUGAGCAGAAAGGGCUGGAAGGAGUUGGCUUUUUCCAAGAAAUUACAGCGGAAUCUUCUUCCAAGAGGCUGGGGGCCUCUGCAGACAUGAUCUCAUUACUUACCCCCCAAAUCCCCCAGCUUCCCUACGGACCAAGGACCAGGGGUCUCUGCCCAGUCCUAGCUCCAAGGAAACUCACACUUGGCAGAUUUUCCUAAUCGGAGCUGGCCUUGAAGUUUGCUCACUGAUAAUCACCAGAAAGUCACCCCAACAAUGGGUGAUGCCAGAGUGUCCUCAAGCUUCAAGGGUCCGUAAAAACACUUGACUCCCCCAGGACAAAAAUGACUGGGGGAAACAUGCAGUUCUUCAAAGAGAACGGUUUCAUUCUGUACCAAA